Molecule: ribosomal RNA, 1117 nt
Filed under: Triticum aestivum (bread wheat)
Lineage: Eukaryota; Viridiplantae; Streptophyta; Magnoliopsida; Poales; Poaceae
Description: partial small subunit ribosomal RNA
Source: RNAcentral
UGUAGAUAGAUGGCCCGUGCUGUUGUUCCGUUGAAUUUUAAUGCAUUUCUUGAGAAAGCAAAGUUGAAAGAUGAUGGUAGCAAUUACACGGACUGGGUCCGUAACUUGAGGAUUAUCCUCAUUGCUGCACAGAAGAAUUACGUCCUGGAAGCACUGCUAGGUGCCAGACCUGCUGCAGGAGCAACACUAGAUGUUAUGAACGUCUGGCAGAGCAAAGCUGAUGACUGCUCGAUAGUUCAAUGUGCCAUGCUUUACGGCUUAGAACCGGGACUUCAACGGCGUUUUGAACAUCAUGGAGCAUAUGAGAUGUUCCAGGAGUUGAAGUUAAUAUUUCAAGAAAAUGCCCGGAUUGAGAGAUAUGAAGUCUCCAAUAAGUUCUACAGCUACAAGAUGGAGGAGAAUAGUUCUGUCAGUGAGCAUAUACUCAAAAUGUCUGGGUAUAACAAUCACUUGAUUCAACUCGAAGUUAAUCUUCCGGAUGAUAGUGUCAUUGACAGAAUUCUUCAAUCACUGCCACCAAGCUACAAGAUCUUCGUGAUGAACUAUAAUAUGCACGGGAUGGAUAAGACAAUUCCCGAGCUCUUCGCGAUGCUAAAGGCUGCGGCGGUAGAAAUCAAGAAGGAGCAUCAAGUGUUGAUGGUCAACAAGACCACCAGUUUCAAGAAAAAGGGUAAAGGGAAGAAGAAGGGGAACUUCAAGAAGAACGACAAACAAGUUGCUGCUCAAGAGAAGAAACCCAAGUCUGGACCUAAACCUGAGACUGAGUGCUUCUACUGCAAAGGAACUGGUCACUGGAAGCAGAACUACCCCAAGUAUUUGGCAGAAAAGAAGGAUGGCAAGGUGAACAAAGAGACUACAGAUUAAGAGAAGAUUGGCUAAGGACGAGGUGACGAUGCGUGUGGGAAAUGGUUCCAAAGUCGAUGUGAUCGCGGUCGGCACGCUACCUCUACAUCUACCUUCGGGAUUAGUUUUAGACCUGAAUAAUUGUUAUUUGGUGCCAGCGUUGAGCACGAACAUUAUAUCUGGAUCUUGUUUGAUGCGAGACGGUUAUUCAUUUAAGUCAGAGAAUAAUGAUUGUUCUAUUUAUAUGAGUAAUAUAUUUUAUGGUCAUGCACCC